AGCUUAGCUAUAUUUUAGAUCUUAUUUCGUCAUUUAUAAUUUAACGUUUUUAUUAACAACAAAUUUUAUUCGAAAACUAAAUUUAUUAUAACACUUUAUAAAAGAAUUAUUUUGGAAAUUAAUUUUAAUGAAAGUCAUUAUUUUAUUUUCUUUAAUUUUGAUGUUCAAAUAUAGUAAUAAAAAUUCUGAAAAUUACCCCAACUUUUCAUAUUUACCAAAAUGCCCUUCUUGACCCAAUUAUAAACCAAGUCAACUCUUCCUUCUCCUCUUCUCUGUCGUGAACAACUGGCAGCCAUGGUGCUUGCCAUCUAAACUUCCUCUAAUGUCUUUAGCCUUGCUGAUUCACUACCUAAACUACUAGAUUUCAUUACUCAUCACCCACUUUUCUGUAUUUCCUUACAUUUGUCAACUUGAGCUUUUGACAUUGAUAUCAUCAGUUCAUCACUUAGGUAAAUGGCCAACUUCUUAUUACUAUAAAUAGUUCUUCAAUUUCUCAAUUAAUCUGCAAAAUAAAAACUUUCUAUUUCAAGUUUUCAGUUUUCACCAUUGAUAAACAUGGUGUUCUUCACCAUCAUCUUCGUUUCAUUUUCAGAACACCACCACCACCACCAUUAACCACCACCGGAAACCACCAAAAACCGUCACCAGAAACGCCAAACCCCACCUCGCUUCUUCCUUUCUUCCGACCGUCGGUACACCGCCCAACUCCCCUGCCUUUCUCCACCUCGCUACUCCCUCCCUGCCUCUCUUUUCGCGGUAGCACCACGCCCACCACCGCCAGCGUCGCCCCCCCCCCCCCCCCAUUCUGUCCCGUUCCGUUUGUCUCACCGUCGACCAACCACCCAGAACCACCGCAGACAUUCCUUUCCCCCCCUCACCGUCCUUUUCUCCUCCUCUCUCGCACUUCCCUGCCUCCCUCUCUCCUCCGCGUUCGAGCAGCAGCCCAGCCACCAGAACCACCCUUCUGGCGUGCUUCCACCUCCCUGCCCAGCAUCGCGUCGCACCUCGCCGCCGGCCGCCGGCCACCGCCCAGCCGCCCAUCUUUCUCCUUCCUUCUUUUCGUUCGAUCCCUGCUCUUUGCGUGCAUUUGGUUUCCAGAAACCAAAGUUCCUAUUGGAACUUUUGGUUUUAUUCACUCAAAGUCAGCCCACCCAACUUAUAAAACUAGGCCCACUAAUAUUGAGUAAGUAUUACUGCUUUUCAAUAUUGAUUUUUGCUGAUUUAUGUUUUAUAAGAAUAAUUUUGGUUAAGUACUUUAACAUUCUUAUAAAGGAAUUUUAUAAAUGACUCAAUAUCUACCAAUUAUUCUUUUUACAUAAAGAAAUUUAUAUAUUUAAAUUAUUAGUUUUAUUAAAAUAGAAUUACUAAGUCAAUAAUUAUUAUUUUAUAAGAUCUCGAUUCUCGGAGCUCAGGAAGAACGAACCAGCGAAAAGGCUUAGCAAAUUGUGGAACUGAGGUACUGCUGGGGACCACGGGAACGAGUAGUGGCGAGGAUUUCACUAUUACCAAGUUCACCUAAGUUAAUGUUAAGUUGUAUCAAGUUUCAGUAAAGAUUCGAGAUUAAGUUAUGUACUUUGAUUAAGGAAUUGAGAAGGAUGAUUAUGUGAAUUUUGGAGUUUAAUAGCUUAUGAUUGAUAGUUGCCUUGUAAUUCCCAAGAGGGAGUUACGGCGGGUAA
Molecule: long non-coding RNA, 1676 nt
Organism: Spinacia oleracea (spinach)
Lineage: Eukaryota; Viridiplantae; Streptophyta; Magnoliopsida; Caryophyllales; Amaranthaceae
Exons: 2
Source: RefSeq, a predicted model, not a curated record